This 441-nucleotide ribosomal RNA is filed under the name Triticum aestivum (bread wheat). RNAcentral describes it as "partial small subunit ribosomal RNA". The record is from RNAcentral. Lineage: Eukaryota; Viridiplantae; Streptophyta; Magnoliopsida; Poales; Poaceae.
AUGAUAUGCCUCCUCAGCAUCGGGUAUUUUCCUCAAUCCAAGUCCACCUGCUGGUGCACCACUAACCCAAGUCUACGUGCUACUUUCACCUUUUGCAACUUCUUUUUUGGAGUAAAUCGUUCGUUUCCACCUGGACCCGACCAAUUCAUUUACCUUGUUCUUCAUGUCCACAAGCGUGACAACCUGAGACUGAGAGAAGACCACCAGAACCUAGACCUUUCAGCAAGGCUGCCACUCAUAUUUGCAUCCCUGCAACAGACACAGAACCUUGGCUGCGGCGCACAUUUAACGACCAACAAAUUCGAUCACAACAGUACCACCGAUAACAAGACGGUGUUUGGCGGUGAGGGAGUAAACAUGUUUAGACCUCUUCACACCACAAAGGAACACAAAAGAGGCCUUAUUAUUAUCCUGCUAACCAUACUAAGGGUGUUCCUAUAA